UGGUACACGUUCGGUGGAGGAACCAGACUGGAUGUUGGAAGUGAUGCCCGUCCCACCCUGACGGUGCUGCCCCCCUCCAGUGAGCAGCUGCAGCAGGGGGAGGCCACGCUCAUGUGCCUGGCCAACAAGGGCUUCCCCUCAGACUGGAGUCUGUCCUGGAAGGUGGACGGCAGCAGCAGCAGCAUCAGCUGGGAGCAGAGCAGCAGCCCCGGGGUGCUGGAGAAGGACGGCCACUACAGCUGGAGCAGCACCCUGAGGCUCUCUGCAGACCAGUGGAGGAAGGUGGGCUCUGUGACCUGUGAGGCCACCCAGGGCUCCCAGACUCCGCUCUCAGAGACUCUGAGGAGAGACCAGUGUCCCCAGUCCUGACCUGACUCACUGGUUUUACUCUGCUGCUGCUCUCACUCUGCACUCUGUAACUCUCUCUUUCUCUCAUGUUCUUGCUUGUGUUGAUGCUUUCAAAUUUUUAAAGCAAUAAAGAUUUGAUU
Non-coding RNA from Centropristis striata (black sea bass), 488 nucleotides. NCBI's taxonomy places the organism in Eukaryota, Metazoa, Chordata, Actinopteri, Perciformes, Serranidae. The record is from the annotation of a RefSeq genome assembly.